ACGCUGGCGGCGUGCCUAAUACAUGCAAGUAGAACGCUGAAGGAGGAGCUUGCUUCUCUGGAUGAGUUGCGAACGGGUGAGUAACGCGUAGGUAACCUGCCUGGUAGCAGGGGAUAACUAUUGGAAACGAUAGCUAAUACCGCAUAACAGUAGAUGUUGCAUGACAUUUGCUUAAAAGGUGCAAUUGCAUCACUACCAGAUGGACCUGCGUUGUAUUAGCUAGUUGGUGGGGUAACGGCUCACCAAGGCGACGAUACAUAGCCGACCUGAGAGGGUGAUCGGCCACACUGGGACUGAGACACGGCCCAGACUCCUACGGGAGGCAGCAGUAGGGAAUCUUCGGCAAUGGACGGAAGUCUGACCGAGCAACGCCGCGUGAGUGAAGAAGGUUUUCGGAUCGUAAAGCUCUGUUGUAAGAGAAGAACAGGUGUGAGAGUGGAAAGUUCACACUGUGACGGUAUCUUACCAGAAAGGGACGGCUAACUACGUGCCAGCAGCCGCGGUAAUACGUAGGUCCCGAGCGUUGUCCGGAUUUAUUGGGCGUAAAGCGAGCGCAGGCGGUUAGAUAAGUCUGAAGUUAAAGGCUGUGGCUUAACCAUAGUACGCUUUGGAAACUGUUUAACUUGAGUGCAAGAGGGGAGAGUGGAAUUCCAUGUGUAGCGGUGAAAUGCGUAGAUAUAUGGAGGAACACCGGUGGCGAAAGCGGCUCUCUGGCUUGUAACUGACGCUGAGGCUCGAAAGCGUGGGGAGCAAACAGGAUUAGAUACCCCUGGUAGUCCACGCCGUAAACGAUGAGUGCUAGGUGUUAGACCCUUUCCGGGGUUUAGUGCCGCAGCUAACGCAUUAAGCACUCCGCCUGGGGAGUACGACCGCAAGGUUGAAACUCAAAGGAAUUGAC
Molecule: ribosomal RNA, 898 nt
Filed under: uncultured bacterium
Lineage: Bacteria
Description: bacterial SSU rRNA
Rfam family: Bacterial small subunit ribosomal RNA
Source: RNAcentral